Lathyrus oleraceus (garden pea) is the source of this 436-nucleotide long non-coding RNA. RefSeq lists it as uncharacterized. The transcript has 2 exons. Lineage: Eukaryota; Viridiplantae; Streptophyta; Magnoliopsida; Fabales; Fabaceae. The record is from RefSeq and is a predicted model, not a curated record.
AAAUAACCUAUUCCAAUAUGUUACUUGUCAUCCUAGCAAAAAAUAAUGGCAACCCGCAUCAAUUCUCUUAUUUUUAUCUUUGCAAUUAUGUGCAUUGCUUCAACCAUGGCUACAGAAGGUGGAUUGACAGGGAGAGGAAAAUGUGUUAUUAUGGGAGCAUGUCCAGAUGGAGCAAAACAGUGUUACGACUAUUGGAAGUCAAGAGGCUUCUCUAAAGGUGGCGAGUGUGUGAAAGAUACAAACUUUUGUUGUUACAUUACUUGAAAAUAUUUAUGUUGGAUAAUUGCACUUUUUCAAUAUGUUUAUACAAACAUAUCGACAAUAAAGUCUUUAUGAAAUUCACAAAAAUAAGAUAAAAAAAAAGUGUAAUUUCAAUUGAAAAUAAUAGUACUAUGAUUUAUAAUGUAAAUAAAAAGUUAUGUUUUAACAUAGUAAA